AUGCAAGAAGUGAAAAUGAUUGUUUAAACAAUAAUAAGAAAACAAGGCUCACACCCGGUUUCAACAAUUGCAAGACUUAGGGUUACUAUGUAUUUUAAUUAGCUUUACUUGAAAUAGUUCGUUAACGGGUCGCAAUCACAAAGCUUAGGUGUCAAUCGCUAUCAACGUCGUAAACAACGGACCAUGAUACACUUCGUUACUUUGGACUAACAAAUCCUACCAAAAGACAAAGCAUAAAUACGUGCAUUCAUUUCACAAAGUCAAAUUUAAUCAUUCACUCGACAGUUUGCAAAUUCAAUACCAACGUAGGACAAUUGUCUAAGAUUCAAACGCAAUUCAAGUUGUCACAAAACAAUCAACAAAACAUAAUAAACCCUAAAUCUUACAAAAGUCUACACCGGGGUGACACCUCCAAGAAAUUAGCCAAGCAUGAUCGAAGAAACUUGAUCACCGGAUGUUGGAAGCGUGAAUUGGAUCAUCAUGAAGCUUGAAGGUGAAUUGAUGGAUGAGGAUUAGGGUUUUAGGUGAGUGAUUAUGGUGGAUGGACGAAUGGUUGAAUGAUUGUAAUGAUGGAAUCUUGAUUGGAGAUGAAGUGUGGUGACGAAGGAUCGAUGAAUAAUGGCUCCAAGACCUGUUUUCAAACUCCAAAUAAGUUGUAACUCCCGAAUUGAUGGCCAACAACCCCAUUUGACUCGUUCUAAACCCCCAAACACAUAAUUUCGCGAUCAAACAAUUGAUGAGCCGUCGCCGACGGCCUGAAGCCCCGUCGGCGACGGUGCCUACUUGUUUACUUU
Molecule: long non-coding RNA, 794 nt
Filed under: Helianthus annuus (common sunflower)
Lineage: Eukaryota; Viridiplantae; Streptophyta; Magnoliopsida; Asterales; Asteraceae
Source: RNAcentral